GACACUAAGUGUGCCAAGGCAGGAGGAUC
Molecule: non-coding RNA, 29 nt
Filed under: Mus musculus (house mouse)
Lineage: Eukaryota; Metazoa; Chordata; Mammalia; Rodentia; Muridae
Source: RNAcentral